AUUGAACGCUGGCGGCAUGCCUUACACAUGCAAGUCGAACGGUAACGGGCCUUCGGGUGCCGACGAGUGGCGAACGGGUGAGUAAUGCAUCGGAACGUACCUUUCAGUGGGGGAUAACGUAGCGAAAGUUACGCUAAUACCGCAUAUUCUGUGAGCAGGAAAGCAGGGGAUCGCAAGACCUUGCGCUGAUUGAGCGGCCGAUGUCAGAUUAGCUAGUUGGUGAGGUAAAGGCUCACCAAGGCGACGAUCUGUAGCGGGUCUGAGAGGAUGAUCCGCCACACUGGAACUGAGACACGGUCCAGACUCCUACGGGAGGCAGCAGUGGGGAAUUUUUGGACAAUGGGGGCAACCCUGAUCCAGCCAUGCCGCGUGAGUGAA
This 378-nucleotide ribosomal RNA is filed under the name uncultured bacterium. RNAcentral describes it as "bacterial SSU rRNA". It matches the Rfam family "Bacterial small subunit ribosomal RNA", at positions 30 to 409 of the family's 1533-position model. The record is from RNAcentral.